RNAcentral lists this ribosomal RNA (221 nucleotides) under uncultured bacterium. RNAcentral's name for it is "partial 16S ribosomal RNA". It matches the Rfam family "Bacterial small subunit ribosomal RNA", at positions 524 to 744 of the family's 1533-position model. The record is from RNAcentral.
UACGUAGGGUGCGAGCGUUGUCCGGAAUUAUUGGGCGUAAAGAGCUUGUAGGCGGUUUGUCGCGUCUGCUGUGAAAAUCCGGGGCUCAACCCCGGACUUGCAGUGGGUACGGCAGACUAGAGUGUGGUAGGGAGACUGGAAUUCCCUGGUGUAGCGGUGAAAUGCGCAGAUAUCAGGAGGAACACCGAUCGGCGAAGGCAGGUCUCUGGCCACUACCUGAC